This is an RNA transcript of Gorilla gorilla gorilla (western lowland gorilla), 2133 nucleotides long. It is a transcript of the gene named boule homolog, RNA binding protein, with no coding region annotated. Lineage: Eukaryota; Metazoa; Chordata; Mammalia; Primates; Hominidae. The record is from RefSeq and is a predicted model, not a curated record. The transcript has 14 exons.
ACCCACCAGUCCCAGAGGCCGACUCUUCUCAAGUGGAGGAGAGGGGAAGGCGUGCAUGGAGCUUUGCCUGACCGCUCGCUCUCUCCUCCCCAGCCGUCUGAGAGAAAGCGAGAGGGGUCCCAGAACCGAGCCCUCGCUCCGCACGCCCCACGCCCGCCCCGCUGUGCCGUGCGCUCUGCCCCUGAGACGCCCCGGCUCGGAGUCCCAGGGCCACAGCCGAAACUCGCCCGCCCGAGCCCCUCUCCGGCUUGCGGCGCCCUCCCGCACCGCCACCUGCCACCCGAGGCGACGCAGUCCGCUUCUCCCCACCCGCCAGGUGGCAGGUUCAGGGCCCGGGUCCGAGCCUGCUUCCCUGCAGCUGCCACAGCCACCCUCGCCGCCAGGGGGCGAGAGUCGCAGGCAGGACAAGCAGCGCUGCUGCCUUGGCGUGAAGGUGGUUUCAAACUUUAGGCUUCUCUUCCCUACCCCGCGUCUCUGAAGAGCAGAGAGGAAGAUGGAAAUCGAGUCCGGGCCGCAAACAUCAAACCAGAUGCAAACAGAUUCAUUAUCUCCAUCCCCUAAUCCUGUGUCGCCUGUGCCUUUGAAUAACCCAACAAGUGCCCCAAGAUAUGGAACAGUGAUCCCUAAUCGCAUCUUUGUAGGAGGAAUUGAUUUUAAGACAAAUGAAAGUGAUUUAAGAAAAUUUUUUUCCCAGUAUGGGUCUGUGAAAGAAGUGAAGAUUGUAAAUGACAGAGCUGGAGUAUCCAAAGGGUAUGGUUUCGUCACUUUUGAAACACAAGAAGAUGCACAAAAAAUUUUACAAGAGGCUGAAAAACUUAAUUAUAAGGAUAAGAAGCUGAACAUUGGUCCAGCAAUAAGAAAACAACAAGUAGGGAUCCCUCGUUCUAGUAUAAUGCCAGCAGCUGGAACAAUGUAUCUAACAACUUCAACUGGAUAUCCUUAUACUUACCAUAAUGGUGUUGCUUAUUUUCAUACUCCAGAGGUAACUUCGGUCCCACCACCUUGGCCUUCACGUUCUGUAUGUAGCUCCCCUGUGAUGGUAGCUCAGCCCGUUUAUCAGCAACCUGCAUAUCACUACCAGGGAAUUAAACAAUGUCAUACAAGAAGAUGGAUGGACUCUUUGCUUCCUUUUACCAAAUGUGAUGAGGCCACCACACAGUAUUUACCAGGACAGUGGCAGUGGAGUGUUCCUCAGCCUUCUGCCUCUUCUGCUCCAUUCUUAUACCUGCAACCUUCUGAGGUUAUUUAUCAACCAGUGGAAAUUGCACAGGAUGGUGGGUGUGUUCCUCCUCCACUGUCUCUGACAGAAACUUCAGUUCCAGAGCCUUAUUCUGAUCAUGGAGUUCAAGCAACAUAUCACCAGGUUUAUGCUCCAAGUGCCAUCACUAUGCCUGCGCCUGUGAUGCAGCCUGAACCAAUUAAAAUGGCACACUUGGUUUCCUGAAACAUCUUGACAUCUCACACCAUCCUGUUCUUAAGUGAGGAGCAGUGGACUUUAAAAUCCAUGGUCCAUUGAUAUUCACUUUCUGACAAAAGACAAGGCAAGGACCCACCAGCACUCCAGGUCUCACUUCAUGAUGAUGUCAUCCUCAUUGAGGGCUCACAACCUGACCAACUACUGGUUUCACUUCAGUUUUGACAUUUCCCAGAGCUAAAGAGCUAAGUCCCAAUCACAGAGAAUCCAACUGGUUCAUCUUCAGGAUCACCGCAGAAGUCAGAUCCAACUUACCACACAUUCCUCCAUUUAAAAUAUCCUGUCUUUGGAAAGUCAGGCCUCUGCGCCAAAGCUAAGCCAUCGUAUCCCCUGUGACCUACACGUACACAUCCAGAUGGUCAGUUCCUGCCUUAACUGAUGACAUUCCACCACAAAAGAAGUGAAAAUGGGCUGUUCCUGCCUUAACUGAUGACAUUCCACCACAAAAGAAGUGAAAAUGGGCUGUUCCUGCCUUAAUUGAUGAUAUUACCUUGUGAAAUUCCUUUUCCUGGCUCAUCCUGGUUCAGAAGCUCCCCCACUGAGCACCUUGUGACCCCCACCCCUGCCCGCCAGAGAACAACCCCCUUUGACUGUAAUUUUCCUUUACCUACCCAAAUCCUAUAAAAUGGCCCCACCCCUAUCUCCCUUCGCUGACUCUC